This 465-nucleotide ribosomal RNA is filed under the name uncultured bacterium. Its description in RNAcentral is "partial 16S ribosomal RNA". It matches the Rfam family "Bacterial small subunit ribosomal RNA", at positions 28 to 507 of the family's 1533-position model. The record is from RNAcentral.
GACGAACGCUGGCGGCGUGCUUAACACAUGCAAGUCGAACGGAAAGGCCCCUUUGGGGGUACUCGAGUGGCGAACGGGUGAGUAACACGUGAGUAACCUGCCCUUGACUUCGGGAUAACUUCAGGAAACUGGGGCUAAUACCGGAUAGGCAUCCUUGCUGCAUGGUGGGGGUUGGAAAGCUUCGGCGGUUUUGGAUGGACUCGCGGCUUAUCAGCUUGUUGGUGGGGUAGUGGCUUACCAAGGCUUUGACGGGUAGCCGGCCUGAGAGGGCGACCGGCCACAUUGGGACUGAGAUACGGCCCAGACUCCUACGGGAGGCAGCGGUGGGGAAUAUUGCACAAUGGGCGGAAGCCUGAUGCAGCAACGCCGCGUGCGGGAUGACGGCCUUCGGGUUGUAAACCGCUUUCAGCAGGGGCGAAGCUUGUGGUGACGGUACCUGCAGAAGAAGCACCGGCUAACUACGUG